Molecule: unclassified non-coding RNA, 395 nt
Filed under: soil metagenome
Description: partial contains 5.8S ribosomal RNA, internal transcribed spacer 2, and large subunit ribosomal RNA
Rfam family: 5.8S ribosomal RNA (bases 1-122)
Source: RNAcentral
GAUGAAGAACGUAGCGAAAUGCGAUACUUGGUGUGAAUUGCAGAAUCCCGUGAACCAUCGAGUCUUUGAACGCAAGUUGCGCCCGAAGCCAUCAGGUUGAGGGCACGUCUGCCUGGGCGUCACAUAUCGUUGCCCACUGCCUAUUGCAGUGCAAUAGGAAUUUCUAGGGCGAAUGAUGGCUUCCCGUGAGCGUUGUUGCCUCGCGGUUGGUUGAAAAUCGAGUCCUUGGUAGGGUGUGCCAUGGUAGAUGGUGGUCGAGUUAGAACGAUACCGAUCAUGUGCAUGCUCCCCAAAAUAUGGCCUCUAUGACCCACACGCGUCUUUUGACGCUCAUGACGAGACCUCAGGUCAGGCGGGGCUACCCGCUGAAUUUAAGCAUAUCAAUAAGCGGAGGA